This 119-nucleotide ribosomal RNA is filed under the name uncultured bacterium. RNAcentral describes it as "partial 16S ribosomal RNA". It matches the Rfam family "Bacterial small subunit ribosomal RNA", at positions 1367 to 1482 of the family's 1533-position model. The record is from RNAcentral.
UACGUUCCCGGGCCUUGUACACACCGCCCGUCAAGUCACGAAAGUUGGUAACACCCGAAGCCGGUGGCCUAACCCCUUGUGGGAGGGAGCUGUCGAAGGUGGGACUGGCGGUUGGGACU